UUUCCUCUCUCCUCUGUUUAUCUUGUGAAACUCAGAAACUUUCUCUCUCCUCUCUCCUUUCUCCUUCGUUUAUUCCAGAUCAAACUUUCUCUCUCCUCUUCUCCUCUCUCCUUUCUCCUUCGUUUAUUCCAAAUCAAAAUUCCAGAUCAAGCGAAUUCCAGAUUAAAAUUCGAUUGAUCCAACCGCUGUUCUUGGUAGUGUAAAAUCGAGGUUUUGUUUGCUCUUCAUGGUCGGAUCUGGACAACUUCGCAGCGGUGUUGUUUGUUUUGGAUGGUGCCACGGUGGUGCUCAUGUGUUUUGGGUUAAUUAACCAAAAGUUACCCUAAAAAUGGUAAAAGUUACCCUAAAAAUGGUAAUAGUUAUUCUUAUAAGGAGCCACAUAAAUGAUAUCCUGAAACAGAUAUAUUGAAGGUGCUUCUCACUGCAGCGGCUCGAUGAAUUUGCUGUCUUCAGUGUCUUAUACUUGGUGACUGGCGAGAGAAAGAGAGGCAAGCUAGAAGGAAGUGGAACAUCUUGUUAAGAUUGUGAAUUGCUCCCUUCUCCUUCUCGUCUGUUUUUUUUAGCUUUUGUGAUUUUUUUUGCAUUUCUUGUUAAUGUAUGGUUGUCUAAUUCUGUAUUUAUCUGUGUGAUUAUUAUGUUUGAACUUUUGAUUUAUCACUAAUUACUUUACUAA
Beta vulgaris subsp. vulgaris (sugar beet) is the source of this 673-nucleotide long non-coding RNA. RefSeq lists it as uncharacterized. NCBI's taxonomy places the organism in Eukaryota, Viridiplantae, Streptophyta, Magnoliopsida, Caryophyllales, Amaranthaceae. The transcript has 2 exons. The record is from RefSeq and is a predicted model, not a curated record.